RNAcentral lists this ribosomal RNA (478 nucleotides) under uncultured bacterium. RNAcentral describes it as "bacterial SSU rRNA". It matches the Rfam family "Bacterial small subunit ribosomal RNA", at positions 28 to 514 of the family's 1533-position model. The record is from RNAcentral.
GAUGAACGCUGGCGGCGUGCUUAACACAUGCAAGUCGAACGGACUUGAUUGGAGCUUGCUCCGAUCAAGUUAGUGGCGGACGGGUGAGUAACGCGUGGGUAACCUGCCUCACACUGGGGGACAACAGUUGGAAACGACUGCUAAUACCGCAUAAGCAUACAGUGUCGCAUGACACAGUGUGAAAAACUCCGGUGGUGUGAGAUGGACCCGCGUCUGAUUAGCUAGUUGGUGAGGUAACGGCCCACCAAGGCAACGAUCAGUAGCCGGCCUGAGAGGGUGAACGGCCACAUUGGGACUGAGACACGGCCCAAACUCCUACGGGAGGCAGCAGUGGGGAACUAUUGGGCAAAUGGGGGAAACCCUGACCCAGCAACGCCGCGUGGAGGAAGAAGGUUUCGGAUCGGUAAACUCCUGUCCUCAGGGACGAAGAACGUGACGGUACCUGGAGAAAAAGCGACGGCUAACUACGUGCCAGCAG